GGGCUUGGGUAGGCCCACCAGGCGAUUACGGGUAGCCGGCCUGUAGAGGGCGACCGGCCACACUGGGACUGAGACACGGCCCAGACUCCUGCGGGAGGCAGCAGUGGGGAAUAUUGCGCAAUGGGCGAAAGCCUGACGCAGCGACGCCGCGUGGGGGAUGACGGCCUUCGGGUUGUAAACCUCUUUUACCACCAACGCAGGCUCGGAGUUUUCUUCGGGUUGACGGUAGGUGGGGAAUAAGGACCGGCUAACUACGUGCCAGCAGCCGCGGCGGA
Molecule: ribosomal RNA, 275 nt
Filed under: Nocardiopsis sp. 'mosae-1'
Lineage: Bacteria; Bacillati; Actinomycetota; Actinomycetes; Streptosporangiales; Nocardiopsidaceae
Description: partial 16S ribosomal RNA
Rfam family: Bacterial small subunit ribosomal RNA
Source: RNAcentral